GCCAAUGUAGCUCAGGGGUAGAGCACUUCCAUGGUAAGGAAGGGGUCGGGGGUUCGAUUCCCUUCAUUGGCU
RNAcentral lists this transfer RNA (72 nucleotides) under Bacteroidota bacterium. RNAcentral's name for it is "Bacteroidetes bacterium tRNA-Thr". It matches the Rfam family "tRNA". From Rfam's summary of the family: Transfer RNA (tRNA) molecules are approximately 80 nucleotides in length. Their secondary structure includes four short double-helical elements and three loops (D, anti-codon, and T loops). The record is from RNAcentral. RNAcentral also lists the same sequence under 2 other names. Lineage: Bacteria; Pseudomonadati; Bacteroidota.